CGGGGCGUAUGCGCAACCUGGGAGCGGGCCUGCUUUGGGAGCAGGAGGUUGGGAGUUCGAAUCUCCCCGCCCCGACCA
This 78-nucleotide transfer RNA is filed under the name Deltaproteobacteria bacterium. Its description in RNAcentral is "tRNA-Pro". It matches the Rfam family "tRNA". From Rfam's summary of the family: Transfer RNA (tRNA) molecules are approximately 80 nucleotides in length. The record is from RNAcentral. Lineage: Bacteria; Pseudomonadati; Myxococcota; Myxococcia.